AUUGAACGCUGGCGGCAGGCUUAACACAUGCAAGUCGAGCGGGGUGAUGGUGCUUGCACUAGCACUUAGCGGCGGACGGGUGAGUAAUGCUUAGGAAUCUGCCUAUUAGUGGGGGACAACAUCUCGAAAGGGCUGCUAAUACCGCAUACGUCCUACGGGAGAAAGCAGGGGAUCACUUGUGACCUUGCGCUACUAGAUGAGCCUACGUCGGAUUAGCUAGUUGGUGGGGUAAAGGCCUACCAAGGCGACGAUCUGUAGCGGGUCUGAGAGGAUGAUCCGCCACACUGGGACUGAGACACGGCCCAGACUGCUACGGGAGGCAGCAGUGGGGAAUAUUGGACAAUGGGGGGAACCCUGAUCCAGCCAUGCCGCGUGUGUGAAGAAGGCCUUAUGGUUGUAAAGCACUUUAAGCGAGGAGGAGGCUCUUUUGGUUAAUACCCAAGAUGAGUGGACGUUACUCGCAGAAUAAGCACCGGCUAACUCUGUGCCAGCCGCCGCCGUAA
Molecule: ribosomal RNA, 503 nt
Filed under: uncultured bacterium
Lineage: Bacteria
Description: partial 16S ribosomal RNA
Rfam family: Bacterial small subunit ribosomal RNA
Source: RNAcentral